CCUACGGGCGGCUGCAGUGGGGAAUAUUGCACAAUGGGCGCAAGCCUGAUGCAGCCAUGCCGCGUGUGUGAAGAAGGCCUUCGGGUUGUAAAGCACUUUCAGCGGGGAGGAAGGCGGUGAGGUUAAUAACCUCAUCGAUUGACGUUACCCGCAGAAGAAGCACCGGCUAACUCCGUGCCAGCAGCCGCGGUAAUACGGAGGGUGCAAGCGUUAAUCGGAAUUACUGGGCGUAAAGCGCACGCAGGCGGUCUGUCAAGUCGGAUGUGAAAUCCCCGGGCUCAACCUGGGAACUGCAUUCGAAACUGGCAUGCUAGAGUCUUGUAGAGGGGGGGAGAAUUCCAGGUGUAGCGGUGAAAUGCGUAGAGAUCUGGAGGAAUACCGGUGGCGCAGGCGGCCCCCUGGACAAAGACUGACGCUCAGGUGCGAAAGCGUGGGGAGCAAACAGGAUUAGAUACCCCAGUAGUC
This 465-nucleotide ribosomal RNA is filed under the name uncultured Enterobacteriaceae bacterium. RNAcentral's name for it is "bacterial SSU rRNA". It matches the Rfam family "Bacterial small subunit ribosomal RNA", at positions 338 to 795 of the family's 1533-position model. Lineage: Bacteria; Pseudomonadati; Pseudomonadota; Gammaproteobacteria; Enterobacterales; Enterobacteriaceae. The record is from RNAcentral.